UGAGGAAUAUUGGUCAAUGGGCGAGAGCCUGAACCAGCCAAGUCGCGUGAAGGAAGACUGCCUUAUGGGUUGUAAACUUCUUUUAUACAGGAAUAAAAAGGCUUACGUGUAGGCCAUUGCAAGUACUGUAUGAAUAAGCAUCGGCUAACUCCGUGCCAGCAGCCGCGGUAAUACGGAGGAUGCGAGCGUUAUCCGGGUUUAUUGGGUUUAAAGGGUGCGCAGGCGGGCUUUUAAGUCAGCGGUGAAAUCUGGACGCUUAACGUCCAAACUGCCGUUGAAACUGGGAGUCUUGAGUAUGGAUGAAGUAGGCGGAAUUCGUUGUGUAGCGGUGACAUGCAUAGAUAUAACGAGGAACUCCGAUUGCGUAGGCAGCUUACUAAGCCAUAACUGACGCUCAUGCACGAAAGCGUGGGGAUCAAACAGGAUUAGAUACCCUGGUAGUCCACGCCGUAAACGAUGAUUACUAGUUGUAUGCGAUAUGAUAGUAUGUGACUAAGCGAAAGCGAUAAGUAAUCCACCUGGGGAGUACGCCGCAACGGUGAAACUUAAAUGAAUUGACGGGGUCAUAGCU
RNAcentral lists this ribosomal RNA (571 nucleotides) under uncultured bacterium. Its description in RNAcentral is "partial 16S ribosomal RNA". It matches the Rfam family "Bacterial small subunit ribosomal RNA", at positions 355 to 926 of the family's 1533-position model. The record is from RNAcentral.